CUUAGCUCUUCUCAUCACAAAAUUUAAUUAUUUUACUGCCUGAAGGGAUGGUAGUGCUGAGUUGCUGUUUGUGUACUAAAAGUGUGGGAGGCUCUUUGUAGGGGAAAGUGGACAAAGGAGCUGCUGCUCUUCGGCGAGAUCAGAAACUGGAGCUGCAAGAAAAGCAGAAACUGGAGGGACCCUCACAGUAGAGGCAGAGGGUAAGGAAUGGAUGCUAUGAAAGCUGCUGUGAGGACAGAGCACUGCAGUGUCAACCAAAUCCUGCUGAAUGCAGAAAUGUCUUGGACCAGGAGAGCUGCAAGGAAAGCAGAAGAUGCAGGGAUACCAGGGAAGUUCUGAUCCCCUCACAGGCAGGACAGCAACAUACCUCGACACAGCACAACGCCCAUGCGAUGCACUGAAGGGGAAGCACAGGGAGAGAAGGAGAAAUCCCCUCCUGUAUCGGAGUCCUCUGGGAGUCAGUUACCCUGGUGAGGAGGGCAUGUUUACAGAAACAAAGACUUGUGGAUCACCAUUGCCUCUUAUGUAAUUCCAUGGUCUUCUGUGGCAGGCAAGAGAAGAAAUCUA
Molecule: long non-coding RNA, 567 nt
Filed under: Gallus gallus (chicken)
Lineage: Eukaryota; Metazoa; Chordata; Aves; Galliformes; Phasianidae
Description: long non-coding RNA NONGGAT001283
Source: RNAcentral